This 595-nucleotide ribosomal RNA is filed under the name Bacillus sp. CH177_5C. RNAcentral describes it as "bacterial SSU rRNA". It matches the Rfam family "Bacterial small subunit ribosomal RNA", at positions 56 to 632 of the family's 1533-position model. The record is from RNAcentral. RNAcentral also lists the same sequence under 1 other name. Lineage: Bacteria; Bacillati; Bacillota; Bacilli; Caryophanales; Bacillaceae.
UGCAGUCGAGCGAAUGGAUUAAGAGCUUGCUCUUAUGAAGUUAGCGGCGGACGGGUGAGUAACACGUGGGUAACCUGCCCAUAAGACUGGGAUAACUCCGGGAAACCGGGGCUAAUACCGGAUAACAUUUUGAACCGCAUGGUUCGAAAUUGAAAGGCGGCUUCGGCUGUCACUUAUGGAUGGACCCGCGUCGCAUUAGCUAGUUGGUGAGGUAACGGCUCACCAAGGCAACGAUGCGUAGCCGACCUGAGAGGGUGAUCGGCCACACUGGGACUGAGACACGGCCCAGACUCCUACGGGAGGCAGCAGUAGGGAAUCUUCCGCAAUGGACGAAAGUCUGACGGAGCAACGCCGCGUGAGUGAUGAAGGCUUUCGGGUCGUAAAACUCUGUUGUUAGGGAAGAACAAGUGCUAGUUGAAUAAGCUGGCACCUUGACGGUACCUAACCAGAAAGCCACGGCUAACUACGUGCCAGCAGCCGCGGUAAUACGUAGGUGGCAAGCGUUAUCCGGAAUUAUUGGGCGUAAAGCGCGCGCAGGUGGUUUCUUAAGUCUGAUGUGAAAGCCCACGGCUCAACCGUGGAGGGUCAUUGGAAA